GAACGAGAAAGGGGAGCAAUCCCUGAGUACAGUGGCGACCGGGUGAGUAACACGUGACUAACCUACCUUCGAGUGGGGGAUAACUCCGGGAAACCGGAGCUAAUACCGCAUAAUAUCGCAAGAUCAAAGCAGCAAUGCGCUUGGAGAGGGGGUCGCGGCUGAUUAGCUAGUUGGCGGGGUAACGGCCCACCAAGGCGAAGAUCGGUAUCCGGCCUGAGAGGGCGCACGGACACACUGGAACUGAAACACGGUCCAGACUCCUACGGGAGGCAGCAGUGGGGAAUUUUGCGCAAUGGGGGAAACCCUGACGCAGCAACGCCGCGUGGAGGAUGAAGCCCUUUGGGGCGUAAACUCCUUUCGACUCGGACGAUAAUGACGGUACGAGUGGAAGAAGCACCGGCUAACUCUGUG
This 411-nucleotide ribosomal RNA is filed under the name uncultured bacterium. Its description in RNAcentral is "bacterial SSU rRNA". It matches the Rfam family "Bacterial small subunit ribosomal RNA", at positions 64 to 507 of the family's 1533-position model. The record is from RNAcentral.